Molecule: ribosomal RNA, 16 nt
Filed under: Dermanyssus hirundinis
Lineage: Eukaryota; Metazoa; Arthropoda; Arachnida; Mesostigmata; Dermanyssidae
Description: partial 18S ribosomal RNA
Source: RNAcentral
GUUUCCGUAGGUGAAC